GUUUGAUCCUGGCUCAGAGCGAACGUUAGCGGCAGGCUUAACACAUGCAAGUCGAGCGACAAAGGGGCUUCGGCCCUGAGUAGAGCGGCGGACGGGUGCGUAACACGUGGAUAAUCUGCCUCGUGGCGGGGGAUAACAGUCCGAAAGGACUGCUAAUACCGCAUGUCAGGUCGGAAACCCCGGUUUCUGACGAAAAAGAGGGCGCCCGCAAGGGGCUCUCACCACGAGAUGAGUCCGCGGCCCAUCAGCUAGUUGGCGGUGUAAUAGACCACCAAGGCUAAGACGGGUAGCUGGUCUGAGAGGAUGACCAGCCACACUGGGACUGAGACACGGCCCAGACUCCUACGGGAGGCAGCAGUGGGGAAUAUUGGACAAUGGGCGAAAGCCUGAUCCAGCCAUGCCGCGUGAGUGAUGAAGGUCUUCGGAUCGUAAAGCUCUGUGGGAAGGGACG
This 451-nucleotide ribosomal RNA is filed under the name uncultured bacterium. RNAcentral describes it as "bacterial SSU rRNA". It matches the Rfam family "Bacterial small subunit ribosomal RNA", at positions 11 to 447 of the family's 1533-position model. The record is from RNAcentral.